This 241-nucleotide ribosomal RNA is filed under the name uncultured bacterium. RNAcentral's name for it is "partial 16S ribosomal RNA". It matches the Rfam family "Bacterial small subunit ribosomal RNA", at positions 100 to 334 of the family's 1533-position model. The record is from RNAcentral.
CCGGCACGGGUGAGUAACACGUAUGCAAUCCACCUGUAACAGGGGGAUAACCCGGAGAAAUCCGGACUAAUACCCCAUAAUAUGGGCGCUCCGCAUGGAGAGCCCAUUAAAGAGAGCAAUUUUGGUUACAGACGAGCAUGCGCUCCAUUAGCCAGUUGGCGGGGUAACGGCCCACCAAACCUUCGAUGGAUAGGGGUUCUGAGAGGAAGGUCCCCCACAUUGGAACUGAGACACGGUCCAA